Molecule: transfer RNA, 83 nt
Filed under: Fidelibacterota bacterium CG08_land_8_20_14_0_20_45_22
Lineage: Bacteria; Pseudomonadati; Fidelibacterota
Description: Candidatus Marinimicrobia bacterium CG08_land_8_20_14_0_20_45_22 tRNA-Tyr
Rfam family: tRNA
About the family: Transfer RNA (tRNA) molecules are approximately 80 nucleotides in length.
Source: RNAcentral
GGGUCGGUGGCCGAGUGGUUAAUGGCAGCAGACUGUAAAUCUGCCGGCGAAUGCCUACGGUGGUUCGAACCCAUCCCGGCCCA